RNAcentral lists this transfer RNA (72 nucleotides) under Loxodonta africana (African savanna elephant). It matches the Rfam family "tRNA". Rfam says of the family: Transfer RNA (tRNA) molecules are approximately 80 nucleotides in length. Their secondary structure includes four short double-helical elements and three loops (D, anti-codon, and T loops). The record is from Rfam by way of RNAcentral. Lineage: Eukaryota; Metazoa; Chordata; Mammalia; Proboscidea; Elephantidae.
GCCUUGGUGGCAUAAUGGUUAAGCACUCAGCUAGUAACUGGAAGGUUGGCAGUUUGAAUCUCCCCAGUGGCU